AUCAGUUUGCUUGUCUUGGCGUGAAAAUGCAGUCAAAACGUCGGCGAGGAAGCGACGCCAGAAUGCCUCCGAACAUGCGAAAAAGCCUUCGCAACGAACAAACAGCCUGCCCCAUUCGAUGGCAACACUUGCUAUUUGACCAAUAAGUUGAUUUCCGGCCCAGUCGAGUUGUAUUUUCCACGCAGAGUGGACGCGCACUUCAAGCGACACAUUUCCAGCGCCAAUUUUUGCAGCAAAUAAAUCGCCGCUCCUCUCGCGUCGGGCCCAUUCUUCACAAAUAUAACUUAUUUGACGUUUGAAAAGAGAUAAGACGAGCUUUGUCUCAAAUAAGUAACAUUUGAUGACGGAAGAAGACUAGACUGGGAACCGUGAUGGGCUGUGCCUCAUAAGCAACGUGGAAUGGUGAAGAAACCCUGGACAGGCAAAACCUGGAAUCAUUUUUUUAACUGCACACAAGACCAGCAGUGACUUCCGAGUCUCAGUCAGCACCACGGACAGUGGUCAAAGCGCCUCACAGCAAACAAGGAGAUGUUUACUGCUUCCAGGACAUUAGAACUC
Long non-coding RNA from Syngnathoides biaculeatus (alligator pipefish), 558 nucleotides. RefSeq lists it as uncharacterized. The record is from RefSeq and is a predicted model, not a curated record. Lineage: Eukaryota; Metazoa; Chordata; Actinopteri; Syngnathiformes; Syngnathidae. The transcript is spliced from 3 exons.